Molecule: transfer RNA, 74 nt
Filed under: Lachnospiraceae bacterium
Lineage: Bacteria; Bacillati; Bacillota; Clostridia; Lachnospirales; Lachnospiraceae
Description: tRNA-Pro
Rfam family: tRNA
About the family: Transfer RNA (tRNA) molecules are approximately 80 nucleotides in length. Their secondary structure includes four short double-helical elements and three loops (D, anti-codon, and T loops).
Source: RNAcentral
CGUGGUGUGGCUCAGCUUGGUAGAGCGCUUCGUUAGGGACGAAGAGGUCGCAGGUUCAAAUCCUGUCACCGCGA